RNAcentral lists this long non-coding RNA (640 nucleotides) under Equus caballus (horse). Its description in RNAcentral is "lncRNA (ENSECAG00000037425.2)". Lineage: Eukaryota; Metazoa; Chordata; Mammalia; Perissodactyla; Equidae. The record is from RNAcentral.
CAAGACGCCAGCUGUAGGCCCUGCGGGCCUGGUUUUCAUUUCAGCAGCUGCCCCAGGAUGUCUUCAUUCCAGCAGUCCUCGUCCCAAAUGUCUCCCUUCCCACCCAAGCCAGGCAGGCGGCUGCCCUCAGCGGGUGCUCAGGCAAAGAGCGGGAAGCCAGUGGCUUUGAUUCCGAGAUGGUCUGUCUGUUUUCUGUGCCAGGAGGUCUCCACACGGUGCAGACAAAUGCCUCUAAGACUUUAACCCCAACGCACAGUCCAGGGAAAGAAGAGUAAGGGCAGCGAGCUCUGGGAAAGAAGAAUAUUGGAAAUAGUUGAAAAAACAUAAAUGUUAAAUUAUGGGCAAACUGUCUGCUGGAGAAGAUGCAGACCCAUACAUUUUGAAAAGCAAUUGAAUGAAGGCGCAAGGCUGGAAGAUCAGAAAGCAGACCCUAAAAGGCCCCAAAUUAGUAAUACAUGCAGGAGACAUAUACAGAUCCACAACCUAAGAGACAAAGGAAAAGAUAAGCAGAUAAAGAACGUGGAAGGCUUGAACUCAGAGAAACAGACACAGAGCGAGCAGGACUCAUGGUCCCCAGCACCAUCUUGAGCUUUUAAUAAAGAAUAGUCUACAAGCAUGUUGCAGUUUUGCAUCUCUAGAC